Molecule: ribosomal RNA, 460 nt
Filed under: uncultured bacterium
Lineage: Bacteria
Description: partial 16S ribosomal RNA
Rfam family: Bacterial small subunit ribosomal RNA
Source: RNAcentral
CCUACGGGUGGCAGCAGUGAGGAAUAUUGGUCAAUGGACGCAAGUCUGAACCAGCCAUGCCGCGUGCAGGAAGAAGGUGCUAUGCAUUGUAAACUGCUUUUAUACGGGGGUAAUUCCCGAUACGUGUAUCUGGAUGACCGUACCGUAUGAAUCAGGAUCGGCUAACUCCGUGCCAGCAGCCGCGGUAAUACGGAGGAUCCGAGCGUUAUCCGGAUGUAGUGGGUGUAAGGGGUGCGUAGGCGGUCAGGUAAGUUAGAGGUGAAAGCUCGAUGCUCAACAUCGAAACUGCCUCUGAUACUGUGUGACUAGAGUGUAGUUGCGGAAGGCGGAAUGUGUGGUGUAGCGGUGAAAUGCUUAGAUAUCACACAGAACACCGAUGGCGAAGGCAGCUUGCCAAGCUAUAACUGACGCUGAGGCACGAAAGCGUGGGGAGCGAACAGGAUUAGAUACCCGUGUAGUC